Molecule: ribosomal RNA, 253 nt
Filed under: uncultured bacterium
Lineage: Bacteria
Description: partial 16S ribosomal RNA
Rfam family: Bacterial small subunit ribosomal RNA
Source: RNAcentral
UACGUAGGGGGCAAGCGUUGUCCGGAUUUAUUGGGCGUAAAGAGCGUGUAGGCGGUUUGGUAGGUCCGUUGUGAAAACUCGAGGCUCAACCUCGAGACGCCGAUGGAAACCAUCAGACUAGAGUCCGGAAGAGGAGAGUGGAAUUCCUGGUGUAGCGGUGAAAUGCGCAGAUAUCAGGAAGAACACCCGUGGCUAAGGCGGCUCUGUAGUACGGUACUGACGCUGAGACGCGAAAGCGUGGGGAGCGAACAGG